AUGACAUACACACACUCACUCAAACGGACAUACAAACACAAUGGAAACACACUGGACACACACAAACACACUGGACACACACACACACACACACACACACACUGGACCCACUGGAUAAACAUACACACUGGAAACACACACACACACACUCACUGGACACACACACACUCACUAGACGCACACACACACACACUGACACACACGCUUGACACACACACGCUUGACACACACACUGGAUACACACACACAAACACACUGGAUACACACACACACACACACACACACUGGAUACACACACACACACACACACACACACACACACACACACACACACACACACACACACACACACACACACACUGGAUACACACACACAAACACACUGGAUACACACACACAAACACACACAAACACAAACACACUGAAACACACUGGACACUCACACGUGUUAAAUCAGUUUCUGGACCACAGGUUCUAGAACAGCUUCUAUCCCAGUUCUAUCUGCCUGUUAAAUCAGUUUCUGGACCACAGGUUCUAGAACAGCUUCUAUCCCAGUUCUAUCUGCCUGUUAAAUCAGUUUCUGGACCACAGGUUCUAGAACAGCUUCUAUCCCAGUUCUAUCUGCCUGUUAAAUCAGUUUCUGGACCACAGGUUCUAGAACAGCUUCUAUCCCAGUUCUAUCUGCCUGUUAAAUCAGUUUCUGGACCACAGGUUCUAGAACAGCUGCUAUCCCAGUUCUAUCUGCCUGUUAAAUCAGUUUCUGGACCACAGGUUCUAGAACAGCUUCUAUCCCAGUUCUAUCUGCCUGUUAAAUCAGUUUCUGGACCACAGGUUCUAGAACAGCUUCUAUCCCAGUUCUAUCUGCCUGUUAAAUCAGUUUCUGGACCACAGGUUCUGGAACAGCUUCUAUCCCAGUUCUAUCUGCCUGUUAAAUCAGUUUCUGGACCACAGGUUCUAGAACAGCUUCUAUCCCAGUUCUAUCUGCCUGUUAAAUCAGUUUCUGGACCACAGGUUCUAGAACAGCUUCUAUCCCAGUUCUAUCUGCCUGUUAAAUCAGUUUCUGGAUCACAGGUUCUAGAACAGCUUCUAUCCCAGUUCUAUCUGCCUGUUAAAUCAGUUUCUGGACCACAGGUUCUAGAACAACUUCUAUCCCAGUUCUAUCUGCCUGUUAAAUCAGUUUCUGGAUCACAGGUUCUAGAACAGCUUCUAUCCCAGUUCUAUCUGCCUGUUAAAUCAGUUUCUGGACCACAGGUUCUAGAACAGCUUCUAUCCCAGUUCUUACUGCCUGUUAAAUCAGUUUCUGGACCACAGGUUCUAGAACAGCUUCAAUCCCAGUUCUAUCUGCCUGUUAAAUCAGUUUCUGGACCACAGGUUCUAUCCCGGUUCUAUCUGCCUCUUAAAUCAGUUUCUGGACCACAGGUUCUAUCCCGGUUCUAUCUGCCUGUUAAAUCAGUUUCUGGACCACAGGUUCUAGAACAGCUUCUAUCCCAGUUCUAUCUGCCUGUUAAAUCAGUUUCUGGACCACAGGUUCUAGAACAGCUUCUAUCCCAGUUCUAUCUGCCUGUUAAAUCAGUUUCUGGACCGCAGGUUCUAGAACAGCUUCUAUCCCAGUUCUAUCUGCCUGUUAAAUCAGUUUCUGGACCGCAGGUUCUAGAACAGCUUCUAUCCCAGUUCUAUCUGCCUGUUAAAUCAGUUUCUGGACCGCAGGUUCUAGAACAGCUUCUAUCCCAGUUCUAUCUGCCUGUUAAAUCAGUUUCUGGACCGCAGGUUCUAGAACAGCUUCUAUCCCAGUUCUAUCUGCCUGUUAAAUCAGUUUCUGGACCGCAGGUUCUAGAACAGCUUCUAUCCCAGUUCUGUCUGCCUGUUAAAUCAGUUUCUGGACCACAGGUUCUAGAACAGCUUCUAUCCCAGUUAUGUCUGCCUGUUAAAUCAGUUUCUGGAUCACAGGUUCUAGAACAGCUGCUAUCCCAGUUCUAUCUGCCUGUUAAAUCAGUUUCUGGAUCGCAGGUUCUAGAACAGCUUCUAUCCCAGUUCUAUCUGCCUGUUAAAUCAGUUUCUGGACCGCAGGUUCUAGAACAGCUUCUAUCCCAGUUCUAUCUGCCUGUUAAAUCAGUUUCUGGACCACAGGUUCUAGAACAGCUUCUAUCCCAGUUCUAUCUGCCUGUUAAAUCAGUUUCUGGACCACAGGUUCUAGAACAGCUUCUAUCCCAGUUCUAUCUGCCUGUUAAAUCAGUUUCUGGACCACAGGUUCUAGAACAGUUUCUAUCCCAGUUCUAUCUGCCUGUUAAAUCAGUUUCUGGACCACAGGUUCUAGAACAGCUUCUAUCCCAGUUCUAUCUGCCUGUUAAAUCAGUUUCUGGACCACAGGUUCUAGAACAGCUUCUAUCCCAGUUCUAUCUGCCUGUUAAAUCAGUUUCUGGAUCACAGGUUCUAGAACAGCUUCUAUCCCAGUUCUAUCUGCCUGUUAAAUCAGUUUCUGGACCACAGGUUCUAGAACAGCUUCUAUCCCAGUUCUAUCUGCCUGUUAAAUCAAUUUCUGGACCACAGGUUCUAGAACAGCUUCUAUCCCAGUUCUAUCUGCCUGUUAAACCAGUUUCUGGACCACAGGUUCUAGAACAGCUUCUAUCCCAGUUCUAUCUGCCUGUUAAACCAGUUUCCGGACCACAGGUUCUAGAACAGCUUCUAUCCCAGUUCUAUCUGGCUGUUAAAUCAGUUUCUGGACCACGGGUUCUAGAACAGCUUCUAUCCCAGUUCUAUCUGGCUGUUAAAUCAGUUUCUGGACCACAGGUUCUAGAACAGCUUCUAUCCCAGUUCUAUCUGCCUGUUAAAUCAGUUUCUGGACCACAGGUUCUAGAACAGCUUCUAUCCCAGUUCUAUCUGCCUGUUAAAUCAGUUGCUGGACCACAGGUUCUAGAACAGCUUCUAUCCCAGUUCUAUCUGCCUGUUAAAUCAGUUUCUGGACCACAGGUUCUAGAACAACUUCUAUCCCGGUUCUAUCUGCCUGUUAAAUCAGUUUCUGGACCACAGGUUCUAGAACAGCUUCUAUCCCGGUUCUAUCUGCCUGUUAAAUCAGUUUCUGGACCACAGGUUCUAGAACAGCUUCUAUCCCGGUUCUAUCUGCCUGUUAAAUCAGUUUCUGGACCACAGGUUCUAGAACAGCUUCUAUCCCGGUUCUAUCUGCCUGUUAAAUCAGUUUCUGGACCACAGGUUCUAGAACAGCUUCUAUCCCAGUUCUAUCUGCCUGUUAAAUCAGUUUCUGGACCACAGGUUCUAGAACAGCUUCUAUCCCAGUUCUAUCUGCCUGUUAAAUCAGUUUCUGGACCACAGGUUCUAGAACAGCUUCUAUCCCAGUUCUAUCUGCCUGUUAAAUCAGUUUCUGGACCACAGGUUCUAGAACAGCUUCUAUCCCAGUUCUAUCUGCCUGUUAAAUCAGUUUCUGGACCACAGGUUCUAGAACAGCUUCUAUCCCAGUUCUAUCUGCCUGUUAAAUCAGUUUCUGGACCACAGGUUCUAGAACAGCUUCUAUCCCAGUUCUAUCUGCCUGUUAAAUCAGUUUCUGGACCACAGGUUCUAGAACAGCUUCUAUCCCAGUUCUAUCUGCCUGUUAAAUCAGUUUCUGGACCACAGGUUCUAGAACAGCUUCUAUCCCAGUUCUAUCUGCCUGUUAAAUCAGUUUCUGGACCACAGGUUCUAGAACAGCUUCUAUCCCAGUUCUAUCUGCCUGUUAAAUCAGUUUCUGGACCACAGGUUCUAGAACAGCUUCUAUCCCAGUUCUAUCUGCCUGUUAAAUCAGUUUCUGGACCAGAGGUUCUAGAACAGCUUCUAUCCCAGUUCUAUCUGCCUGUUAAAUCAUAA
Molecule: long non-coding RNA, 3855 nt
Filed under: Salmo trutta (river trout)
Lineage: Eukaryota; Metazoa; Chordata; Actinopteri; Salmoniformes; Salmonidae
Description: lncRNA (ENSSTUG00000002703.1)
Source: RNAcentral